UACGUAAGAGACUAGUGUUAAUCAUCAUAAAUAGGUUUAAAGGGUACUCAGACGGAAAAUAUUCGCCUAAAAAAGGGACAUUUUUUCUAGAGUUUUAUGUAAGAAGAUCGUACUCUAGAGUGUAGAGAUCAUAUUUGUUGAUACCUAGGGGACUGGUAAAGGCGAAGGCAAUCUUUUAUGUAAAAACUGACGUCGAAGGACGAAGGCAAAGGGCACGAACAGG
RNAcentral lists this ribosomal RNA (223 nucleotides) under uncultured bacterium. Its description in RNAcentral is "partial 16S ribosomal RNA". It matches the Rfam family "Bacterial small subunit ribosomal RNA", at positions 524 to 776 of the family's 1533-position model. The record is from RNAcentral.